Molecule: ribosomal RNA, 377 nt
Filed under: Alloprevotella rava
Lineage: Bacteria; Pseudomonadati; Bacteroidota; Bacteroidia; Bacteroidales; Prevotellaceae
Description: bacterial SSU rRNA
Rfam family: Bacterial small subunit ribosomal RNA
Source: RNAcentral
GCACGGGUGCGUAACGCGUAUUGAACCUGCCCUUUACUCAGGGAUAGCCUUGCGAAAGUAAGAUUAAUACCUGAUGGUGUUGUGAUGAGGCAUCUUAUUGCAACUAAAGAUUUAUUGGUAAAGGAUGGCGAUGCGUCUGAUUAGGUAGUAGGCGGGGUAACGGCCCACCUAGCCCACGAUCAGUAGGGGUUCUGAGAGGAAGGUCCCCCACAUUGGAACUGAGACACGGUCCAAACUCCUACGGGAGGCAGCAGUGAGGAAUAUUGGUCAAUGGGCGAGAGCCUGAACCAGCCAAGUAGCGUGCAGGACGACGGCCCUCUGGGUUGUAAACUGCUUUUAGUUGGGAACAAAAAAGGCGACGUGUCGCCUCUGGAGUG